GCUACGAACCGUCUGCUUUUCGCUGACACAAGCGAGAGGUGUCAGCUGCGGGCCGACCGGACUCUUCCACGCAUGCGCACAGCCAUCCGGCUAAGGGAGACGGCUGUAGCAUAGGACUCUGUAGCGACCUGGGUGCAGCCUGCCGCCGCAAGUCCAUCCUGCUUUGCUCUGCUGAAAAACAACAGCACCUUAGACUCUGCUCCCUGGUACGGUCCAAGUCAUCUGCCACACAGGUCCAACGCAUCCACAUCCACUGGGGUUCCUGUCUUCUGAAACGAUACCGUUACCUUACAACUGGUUUCAGUGAGUUAUGCAGAGAAAGCUGUAAAUCAAGCGGAUAUGAGCAAGAAAAUUCCAGCUGAACGCGGCACUCACCAUCUGGACCAACUAACGAAAAUGUAGAAAUGACUCCAUCAGUCAUCAAUAUAAGUUUACCAAAUACAUCCACAAGAACGAACUGUUCAGAAUUAUGGCCACCAUGGUACUCUGCAGAGAAGAGUCGU
Molecule: long non-coding RNA, 503 nt
Organism: Hyla sarda
Lineage: Eukaryota; Metazoa; Chordata; Amphibia; Anura; Hylidae
Exons: 4
Source: RefSeq, a predicted model, not a curated record